Molecule: ribosomal RNA, 1343 nt
Filed under: uncultured bacterium
Lineage: Bacteria
Description: 16S ribosomal RNA
Rfam family: Bacterial small subunit ribosomal RNA
Source: RNAcentral
GACGAACGCUGGCGGCGUGCUUAACACAUGCAAGUCGAACGGAAAGGCCCUGCUUUUGUGGGGUGCUCGAGUGGCGAACGGGUGAGUAACACGUGAGUAACCUGCCCUUGACUUUGGGAUAACUUCAGGAAACUGGGGCUAAUACCGGAUAGGAGCUCCUGCUGCAUGGUGGGGGUUGGAAAGUUUCGGCGGUUGGGGAUGGACUCGCGGCUUAUCAGCUUGUUGGUGGGGUAGUGGCUUACCAAGGCUUUGACGGGUAGCCGGCCUGAGAGGGUGACCGGCCACAUUGGGACUGAGAUACGGCCCAGACUCCUACGGGAGGCAGCAGUGGGGAAUAUUGCACAAUGGGCGGAAGCCUGAUGCAGCAACGCCGCGUGCGGGAUGACGGCCUUCGGGUUGUAAACCGCUUUCGCCUGUGACGAAGCGUGAGUGACGGUAAUGGGUAAAGAAGCACCGGCUAACUACGUGCCAGCAGCCGCGGUGAUACGUAGGGUGCGAGCGUUGUCCGGAUUUAUUGGGCGUAAAGGGCUCGUAGGUGGUUGAUCGCGUCGGAAGUGUAAUCUUGGGGCUUAACCCUGAGCGUGCUUUCGAUACGGGUUGACUUGAGGAAGGUAGGGGAGAAUGGAAUUCCUGGUGGAGCGGUGGAAUGCGCAGAUAUCAGGAGGAACACCAGUGGCGAAGGCGGUUCUCUGGGCCUUUCCUGACGCUGAGGAGCGAAAGCGUGGGGAGCGAACAGGCUUAGAUACCCUGGUAGUCCACGCUGUAAACGGUGGGUACUAGGUGUGGGGUCCAUUCCACGGGUUCCGUGCCGUAGCUAACGCUUUAAGUACCCCGCCUGGGGAGUACGGCCGCAAGGCUAAAACUCAAAGGAAUUGACGGGGCCCCGCACAAGCGGCGGAGCAUGCGGAUUAAUUCGAUGCAACGCGUAGAACCUUACCUGGGUUUGACAUGGAUCGGGAGUGCUCAGAGAUGGGUGUGCCUCUUUUGGGGUCGGUUCACAGGUGGUGCAUGGCUGUCGUCAGCUCGUGUCGUGAGAUGUUGGGUUAAGUCCCGCAACGAGCGCAACCCUUGUUCACUGUUGCCAGCACGUUAUGGUGGGGACUCAGUGGAGACCGCCGGGGUCAACUCGGAGGAAGGUGGGGAUGACGUCAAGUCAUCAUGCCCCUUAUGUCCAGGGCUUCACGCAUGCUACAAUGGCUGGUACAGAGAGUGGCGAGCCUGUGAGGGUGAGCGGAUCUCGGAAAGCCGGUCUCAGUUCGGAUUGGGGUCUGCAACUCGACCUCAUGAAGUCGGAGUCGCUAGUAAUCGCAGAUCAGCAACGCUGCGGUGAAUAAGGUCCCGGG